Molecule: ribosomal RNA, 253 nt
Filed under: uncultured bacterium
Lineage: Bacteria
Description: partial 16S ribosomal RNA
Rfam family: Bacterial small subunit ribosomal RNA
Source: RNAcentral
CGAAGGGGCUAGCGUUACUCGGAAUUACUGGGCGUAAAGGGCGCGUAGGCGGCGUUUCAAGUUAGGCGUGAAAGCCCUGGGCUCAACCUGGGGACUGCGCUUAAGACUGGAAUGCUUGAGGAUGGAAGAGGCUCGUGGAAUUCCCAGUGUAGAGGUGAAAUUCGUAGAUAUUGGGAAGAACACCGGUGGCGAAGGCGGCGAGCUGGUCCAUUACUGACGCUGAGGCGCGAUAGCGUGGGGAGCAAACAGGAUU